GCUGCCAUAGCUCAGCGGAUUAGAGUGGAUGUCUUCGAAACAUCAGGUCGUGGGUUCGAAUCCCACUGGCAGCA
RNAcentral lists this transfer RNA (74 nucleotides) under Ktedonobacterales bacterium. RNAcentral describes it as "tRNA-Arg". It matches the Rfam family "tRNA". Rfam says of the family: Transfer RNA (tRNA) molecules are approximately 80 nucleotides in length. Their secondary structure includes four short double-helical elements and three loops (D, anti-codon, and T loops). Further hydrogen bonds mediate the characteristic L-shaped molecular structure. tRNAs have two regions of fundamental functional importance: the anti-codon, which is responsible for specific mRNA codon recognition, and the 3' end, to which the tRNAs corresponding amino acid is attached (by aminoacyl-tRNA synthetases). tRNAs cope with the degeneracy of the genetic code in two manners: having more than one tRNA (with a specific anti-codon) for a particular amino acid; and 'wobble' base-pairing, i.e. permitting non-standard base-pairing at the 3rd anti-codon position. Lineage: Bacteria; Bacillati; Chloroflexota; Ktedonobacteria; Ktedonobacterales. The record is from RNAcentral.